Molecule: ribosomal RNA, 292 nt
Filed under: uncultured bacterium
Lineage: Bacteria
Also listed under: 2 other names
Description: partial 16S ribosomal RNA
Source: RNAcentral
GGACUACCCGGGUAUCUAAUCCCGUUUGCUCCCCUAGCUUUCGCGCCUCAGCGUCAGAAGAGGUCCAGCAGGCCGCUUUCGCCACCGGCGUUCCUUCCGAUAUCAACGCAUUUCACCGCUCCACCGGAAGUUCCACCUGCCCCUACCUCCCUCCAGCCGAUCCGUAUCCAAGGCACUUUUCCGGUUGAGCCGAAAGCUUUCACCCCGGACGUGAUCGACCGCCUACGCGCCCUUUAAGCCCAGUGAUUCCGAACAACGUUCGCACGGUUCGUCUUACCGCGGCUGCUGGCAC